Molecule: ribosomal RNA, 493 nt
Filed under: uncultured bacterium
Lineage: Bacteria
Description: partial 16S ribosomal RNA
Rfam family: Bacterial small subunit ribosomal RNA
Source: RNAcentral
GACGAACGCUGGCGGCGUGCUUAACACAUGCAAGUCGAACGGUGAAGGGACCGGUUUUUGCUGGUUCUGGAUGAGUGGCGAACGGGUGAGUAACACGUGAGUAACCUGCCCCCUUCUUCUGGAUAACCGCAUGAAAGUGUGGCUAAUACGGGAUAUUCUGCGCCUGCUGCAUGGUGGGCGUGGGAAAGAUAUUGUUUCGGUGGGGGAUGGGCUCGCGGCCUAUCAGCUUGUUGGUGGGGUGAUGGCCUACCAAGGCGGUGACGGGUAGCCGGCCUGAGAGGGUGGACGGUCACACUGGGACUGAGACACGGCCCAGACUCCUACGGGAGGCAGCAGUGGGGAAUAUUGCACAAUGGGCGCAAGCCUGAUGCAGCGACGCCGCGUGAGGGAUGGAGGCCUUCGGGUUGUAAACCUCUUUCGCCAGUGAAGCAGGCCUGUCCCUUUUGUGGGUGGGUUGACGGUAGCUGGAUAAGAAGCGCCGGCUAACUACGUG